CUGUUAGCCACUGGCUUCUCUGAUGGGUUGGAUCACAGAAACCCUUUUGGGCCUGCCAACUGAUAUGCCAAGACUACUACUGCCCCUGCUUUCCUGCCCUGGCAGCUUGGGACUUCAGUGCCCUGCCUGGUUUGAGCCAGACCCGUUAGCUUGCUGCAAACCCAGACCCAGAUCUGAACCACAUCCCCUA
Long non-coding RNA from Dermochelys coriacea (leatherback sea turtle), 190 nucleotides. RefSeq lists it as uncharacterized. The record is from RefSeq and is a predicted model, not a curated record. The transcript is spliced from 3 exons. Lineage: Eukaryota; Metazoa; Chordata; Testudines; Dermochelyidae.